Talpa occidentalis (Iberian mole) is the source of this 1326-nucleotide long non-coding RNA. RefSeq lists it as uncharacterized. The transcript is spliced from 3 exons. Lineage: Eukaryota; Metazoa; Chordata; Mammalia; Eulipotyphla; Talpidae. The record is from RefSeq and is a predicted model, not a curated record.
AUUGCUUCCCCAAAGGCAGCUGGUUUUCAUAGCCAGAGUUGGCCUGAGACAAGGCUCCUUAAUUGCACAUUUUUCUCCUCCAUCUGUCCGUGUAUCUGCCUGUAGCUGUUGCCAGAGCGUUUCAUAUUUGAAUAUGCAUGCAGAUCACCUGGGGAGCGUGAGUAUGUGCAGGUUUGGACUCAGCAGGCCUGGGUGGGGAUGAGACCCGCAUUCUGGCUAAGCAACCAGGUGCUGGCCCAGGUGCUGGCCCAAGUGGCACUUGGCUGCAUGCAGCAAACUUUAUAGGAGCGUGGCCUGUUGCUGCGCACACACCUAAACCAAUGCUGCCGGCCUGCGGUGGAGGGAGUAAACCUGCCUCUUGUCCCGUUGGGGGGUCCUGCCCGUGCCCCACUACGCGGCCCAGUGUGAACACAAGACCUUGCACGCACACAGAAAAGGGCCCCAUCGAUGACUGUUGAAUGAAUCAAAACAAAUGGAGCGAGAAAAGCUCUGAACUUGGGGACCGGACUGUACCCAGAAGCCGCGAGACCUUGACCAGGUCAAUAUGCAUUUAUUCAGCUCUCUUAUUGGAAAUGAUAUGAAAAGUAUUACUGAGCCCAAAGAAUAAAGAAAAUAGCAGAUAAAAUGCAAGGAAAGGAAGAAAUGUAAUGAGCGAAUAAAUAUGUUCAUUCAUGAAUAAAAAUUUAUUCAUGAAUAAAUAAAUCCAUUCAUCCAACAAAUGAACUUACAGAGUCCUUAUUUUUACCAUGCAUUGCACUGGUGCCUGAACUUGAAGAGCACCAAGGAGGGGCUCCCCUGAUGUGUGUAGGCUGAAUGAAUGUUUCUGCUUAAAAGAAAGUUGGAUCCAGUGCUAAAGACCAAGAAAGAGAACUUCCUUGUUUUAUCAGUGACUCUUGUGACCCCUGACUUCCUUCUGAUGCACGCCACCUGCCCUUCCUUCCACCCGCCCACCACCCACUCUCCCAUUCAUCCAUCCUGCAUCCUGCUCUGAAUCCGCCUUGUUUUCCUGGCACUCUGCUGGUAGUUGGAGCUGUGGAGAUAGAAAGGGUAAACUACAAGGUCUCCAGGAACACACAAUCCCUGCUGUAAGAGAGGAUUCUAAGGCAAAAAGAGAAGGAACUGACACAUCCCAAAUAUAAAAAACAGAAUUAGCAGCGUUCCAGAGAGAGGGGUUUAGCAUUUAUGAACCUAGCGCUGUCCCACACCAAAACCAGGGUGAGCAAUAAUCAAUGCCACAAGUACGUCCUUGGGGUUCUGAGGCAGACUCCUGGGAGGUGGGGACAGUUCCCUCCCAGGGUAACAGCGGGUGGGGGCCCUGAGGCAGAA